GAGUGUUGGUGAUAUCUCCAAUGGAAGCUCUUCUCUCGAAUUCAUCAAAAACAUGAAAUCUCUAAAUACAUUAACAUUUAGAAACAGCAAUCUCACUGGGACAAUCCCCUCUAAUAUCGGGGAAUACUCAAAACUGAGACAAGUUGAUUUGAGCUUCAACAAACUACAUGGACCAAUUCCGGCUUCACUUUUCAACUUGAGUGGA
Molecule: non-coding RNA, 205 nt
Organism: Camelina sativa (false flax)
Lineage: Eukaryota; Viridiplantae; Streptophyta; Magnoliopsida; Brassicales; Brassicaceae
Source: RefSeq, a predicted model, not a curated record